GUGAAGAACGCAGCGAAAUGCGAUACGUAAUGUGAAUUGCAGAAUUCAGUGAAUCAUCGAGUCUUUGAACGCACAUUGCGCCCCCUGGUAUUCCGGGGGGCAUGCCUGUCCGAGCGUCAUUGCUGCCCUCAAGCACGGCUUGUGUGUUGGGCCUCCGUCCUCCUCCCGGGGGACGGGCCCGAAAGGCAGCGGCGGCACCGCGUCCGGUCCUCGAGCGUAUGGGGCUUCGUCACCCGCUCUUGUAGGCCCGGCCGGCGCUUGCCGACACAUCAAUCUUUUUUCCAGGUUGACCUCGGAUCAGGUAGGGAUACCCGCUGAACUUAAGUAUAUCAAUAAGCGGAGGA
This 344-nucleotide unclassified non-coding RNA is filed under the name soil metagenome. RNAcentral's name for it is "partial contains 5.8S ribosomal RNA, internal transcribed spacer 2, and large subunit ribosomal RNA". The stretch from base 2 to 119 matches the Rfam family "5.8S ribosomal RNA", at positions 37 to 154 of the family's 154-position model. The record is from RNAcentral.